Molecule: long non-coding RNA, 294 nt
Filed under: Homo sapiens (human)
Lineage: Eukaryota; Metazoa; Chordata; Mammalia; Primates; Hominidae
Description: HSALNT0341632
Source: RNAcentral
GAGAUCUGAAAAUUCCCUGGCUAGCUGAACUGAUUCACAUUGGCUAAGACAAACUGUUAACUGUUACCUAAAGAAGAGAACAAACGAGAGAAGAGAAAACGCAAAGAGCCUGCAUGGCUUGGGUUUGAGGAAAAGUUUGGACAACUUUUGAGAGAGAGGAAGAGUGAUUUUGAACCACACAGCUGGACUGGGGAUGUGGAUGCAAUGUGAACAUAAAAGAUUGCCUUCUUAUGGAAACUGCAGCUAAGUACAGGCCAGGUGUGGUGGCUCACGCCUGUAAUUCAAGCCUUUGGG